Molecule: long non-coding RNA, 761 nt
Filed under: Theobroma cacao (cacao)
Lineage: Eukaryota; Viridiplantae; Streptophyta; Magnoliopsida; Malvales; Malvaceae
Description: long non-coding RNA (TCAC_LNC002496)
Source: RNAcentral
GGAUAUUACAUCGCUAUUAGUUCGAAGGCGUAUUUAGCUAUUCCUACUUGCCGGUCGCUCGUUAUUUCCUUCGGCACGCCACCACAGUACACUAUCUUUACUUUUGUACUUCCCAGCAAUAAUCCAAAUUUAAUAUUUUUAGUGUACAUCAUUUCUACUUCUCUUUUUCCUUCAAUCAUGAAUCUUUAUUCAACUAACUUAUAUCUGGACACAUUUUUUUUUCCAAAGUUGCCUUUAUCCUUUACUUGAGUAAUUCUUUAAAUUAUAAUUACCGGUAACUUAUUUAUGACUCUAGCACCCAUACUAACCUUUUCUAGCCAUUUUCAUUUAAAUUCAUCUUAUAUUUUCACACAUAAUCCACAUAUAUGGCAGCAACAAUCAUUCUCACUUUCACUCAAUUAUUUUCAAGCUUAUAUGCAUCAUUAUCUAUCUAACUUUUAAUGUUUUGCUUCUUAAUCCUCCAUCCACAUUCUUUCUUUUUCAUUUCUUUCAAACAACCUGCCAUACCAACUUAACAAUUUUUCAACUACACAACAAUAACUAUUUCUCAAGAUUUCUCAACUAUACUUAAAACAUCAUUCGUUUUUACCUUUAUGGUUGCUUGACCCGUACAUGCACUCCACUGUUCUUUCAAAACAUUAAUCAUCAAGCUGCCAAAAUGAUUCACACAUUAUUUCUCCAAAGAUUUAACCAACUGUGAGCUUAAAACACAAAAAUCUUUACCUUUCCUUGCUUGAAUCACAAAACCAAGCUUUUUCUUC